RNAcentral lists this ribosomal RNA (254 nucleotides) under uncultured bacterium. RNAcentral describes it as "partial 16S ribosomal RNA". It matches the Rfam family "Bacterial small subunit ribosomal RNA", at positions 524 to 776 of the family's 1533-position model. The record is from RNAcentral.
UACGUAGGGUGCAAGCGUUGUCCGGAAUUAUUGGGCGUAAAGAGCUCGUAGGCGGUUUGUCGCGUCUGCUGUGAAAACCUAAGGCUCAACCUUGGGCUUGCAGUGGGUACGGGCAGACUAGAGUGCGGUAGGGGGUGACUGGAAUUCCUGGUGUAGCGGUGGAAUGCGCAGAUAUCAGGAGGAACACCGAUGGCGAAGGCAGGUCACUGGGCCGCAACUGACGCUGAGGAGCGAAAGCUGGGGGAGCGAACAGG